This 416-nucleotide ribosomal RNA is filed under the name Alternaria sp. MBL_105. RNAcentral describes it as "SSU rRNA". It matches the Rfam family "Eukaryotic small subunit ribosomal RNA", at positions 1304 to 1752 of the family's 1831-position model. The record is from RNAcentral. Lineage: Eukaryota; Fungi; Ascomycota; Dothideomycetes; Pleosporales; Pleosporaceae.
GGGGGACUGUCUGCUUAAUGCGAAACGAGCGAGACCUUACUCUGCUAAAUAGCCAGGCUAGCUUUGGCUGGUCGCCGGCUUCUUAGAGAGACUAUCAACUCAAGUUGAUGGAAGUUUGAGGCAAUAACAGGUCUGUGAUGCCCUUAGAUGUUCUGGGCCGCACGCGCGCUACACUGACAGAGCCAACGAGUUCUUUUCCUUGUUCGAAAGAAUUGGGUAAUCUUGUUAAACUCUGUCGUGCUGGGGAUAAAGCAUUGCAAUUAUUGCUUUUCAACGAGGAAUGCCUAGUAAGCGCGUGUCAUCAGCAUGCGUUGAUUACGUCCCUGACCUUGUACACACCGCCCGUCGCUACUACCGAUUGAUGGCUCAUGAGGCCUUCGGACUGGCUCGAGAGUGGCACGACCACUCAGCCGGAA